UGGGCCCAGAGAAAGGGACGGCCGAGCGGCGGGGUGUGUUGGCGCUGCGUGUUAAAGCGAGCCGCUGUGAUCGUGAGUGGCAGGAGGGAGACAACGGAGAAGGAACGGGACGGCGGGGCCCUGUGACAAGAGCUGUAAUGGAUGUUUCGUUCGCCGCUGAGCUCACCUGCUUUCAGACGCCCACAAAGGAUGACGGGAUGCUCCUCAGCAGGAAACGGAAAUCAGGGCCCAGGCUGGAAAUGGAACUCUCUCUCCAAACACAAGCAUAAACAUGACUCAGGUGAGUGGGCAGUGAAAUAAAGCAUGACGAACAAAAACCCUGCAGCACGCUAACCCCGUGUGCAUCGGGUGUCUCUUUAGCUGAGGGCACAAGUUCAUGUUUAUUUUUUGCAGUUAACCGAUGAAACGACCGGUGAGUAGUAGAGGACGGCUCUGCUGUUAAUCAGAAGUGCCACAAUGUGGAUAAAAAAAAAUAACGGUUCUAUCCAUCUUUCUUCAAUCUUAUCUUAGUGUACUCUCUUUCCCAACGGCCAUUGAUAAUCAUUGUCUUUGUUGCUUGAAGAGGAAUCCUAUUGGCGAAAACCUCGUAGAUGCUGUUGGAUUAGCAAAUCAAGCUGAUAAUCUGUUCAAAUCCCCAAGAUGUCAUCACUGUGGUGGACCUUGGAGGAUUGAAGAAAUGCUAAUGUAUCCGGCAGCUCUUCUUUGGGUCCAGUGGGACCUCACCUGCAGCAAAAUGACGAGAGUAUUAUCUCCAUGCAAAUAUUACCAGAGGAAGGUAAACAGGAAAUGUAUCUCAUGGCUGGCUAUGGGCGAGUCAUCAGCUUCCUCUGAAACACAGAAGAGGAAAAGCAAGAUACCUCACAGUUCAAAACGACCUCAGAGCCUGCUGUAAUUUCCGUUGCAGCCUCCGUAUGUGAAAGUACUGUUAAGUGUUUCGCCGGCUUUUGUU
Molecule: long non-coding RNA, 949 nt
Organism: Gasterosteus aculeatus aculeatus (three-spined stickleback)
Lineage: Eukaryota; Metazoa; Chordata; Actinopteri; Perciformes; Gasterosteidae
Source: Ensembl